CAAAGUGUAGCUUAUUUUAAAGCACCUGGCCUACACCCAGAAGAUUCCAUGCAAAGUGGCCGCUUUGA
RNAcentral lists this transfer RNA (68 nucleotides) under Harpyionycteris whiteheadi. Its description in RNAcentral is "tRNA-Val". It matches the Rfam family "tRNA". Rfam says of the family: Transfer RNA (tRNA) molecules are approximately 80 nucleotides in length. Lineage: Eukaryota; Metazoa; Chordata; Mammalia; Chiroptera; Pteropodidae. The record is from RNAcentral.